Molecule: ribosomal RNA, 602 nt
Filed under: uncultured bacterium
Lineage: Bacteria
Description: bacterial SSU rRNA
Rfam family: Bacterial small subunit ribosomal RNA (bases 1-517)
Source: RNAcentral
CCUACGGGGGCAGCAGUGGGGAAUCUUGCGCAAUGGGCGAAAGCCUGACGCAGCCAUGCCGCGUGAAUGAUGAAGGUCUUAGGAUUGUAAAAUUCUUUCACCGGGGACGAUAAUGGCGGUACCCGGAGAAGAAGCCCCGGCUAACUUCGUGCCAGCAGCCGCGGUAAUACGAAGGGGGCUAGCGUUGCUCGGAAUUACUGGGCGUAAAGGGAGCGUAGGCGGAUAGUUUAGUCAGAGGUGAAAGCCCAGGGCUCAACCUUGGAAUUGCCUUUGAUACUGGCUAUCUUGAGUACGGAAGAGGUAUGUGGAACUCCGAGUGUAGAGGUGAAAUUCGUAGAUAUUCGGAAGAACACCAGUGGCGAAGGCGACAUACUGGUCCGUUACUGACGCUGAGGCUCGAAAGCGUGGGGAGCAAACAGGAUUAGAUACCCUGGUAGUCCACGCUGUAAACGAUGAGUGCUAGUUGUCGGCAUGCAUGCAUGUCGGUGACGCAGCUACGACAUUAAGACACUCCGCCGUCGGGAGGUACGGUCGCGAAGAAUUAAACUACAAGGAAGUUAGACGGCGUGAGACGUGCCGACGGACGACGACGAGGGAGUAGG